This 379-nucleotide ribosomal RNA is filed under the name uncultured bacterium. RNAcentral describes it as "bacterial SSU rRNA". It matches the Rfam family "Bacterial small subunit ribosomal RNA", at positions 790 to 1167 of the family's 1533-position model. The record is from RNAcentral.
GUAGUCCAUGCCGUAAACGUUGGGAACUAGAUGUAGGGCCUGUUCCACGGGUUCUGUGUCGUAGCUAACGCAUUAAGUUCCCCGCCUGGGGAGUACGGCCGCAAGGCUAAAACUCAAAGGAAUUGACGGGGGCCCGCACAAGCGGCGGAGCAUGCGGAUUAAUUCGAUGCAACGCGAAGAACCUUACCAAGGCUUGACAUAUACGAGAACACUGUAGAGAUACAGGACUCUUUGGACACUCGUAAACAGGUGGUGCAUGGUUGUCGUCAGCUCGUGUCGUGAGAUGUUCGGUUAAGUCCGGCAACGAGCGCAACCCUCGUCCUAUGUUGCCAGCACGUAAUGGUGGGAACUCAUGGGAUACUGCCGUGGUCAACACGGA